RNAcentral lists this ribosomal RNA (274 nucleotides) under uncultured bacterium. Its description in RNAcentral is "partial 16S ribosomal RNA". It matches the Rfam family "Bacterial small subunit ribosomal RNA", at positions 523 to 796 of the family's 1533-position model. The record is from RNAcentral.
AUACGGAGGGUGCAAGCGUUGUCCGGAUUUAUUGGGUUUAAAGGGUGUGUAGGCGGUGUAUUAAGUCAGUGGUGAAAGCCUGCGGCUCAACCGUAGAACUGCCAUUGAUACUGACACACUUGAGUAUGGACGAGGUAGGCGGAAUUUAUGGUGUAGCGGUGAAAUGCAUAGAUACCAUAAAGAACACCGAUAGCGAAGGCAGCUUACUAGGCCAUAACUGACGCUGAGGCACGAAAGCGUGGGGAGCGAACAGGAUUAGAUACCCCGGUAGUCC